Molecule: long non-coding RNA, 2988 nt
Organism: Numida meleagris (helmeted guineafowl)
Lineage: Eukaryota; Metazoa; Chordata; Aves; Galliformes; Numididae
Exons: 3
Source: RefSeq, a predicted model, not a curated record
UACCAUGAUGAUGCUAGGUUUCCAAGUGCUGUUUUUCCUAGCUUCUGUACUGUUGCUUCUGUGCACUGCAGUUCUCACUCCUGGUAGAGAUUGAAGUUCUAGAAGAUUGACUUGAAAGGCUCUGAGCCUCCUCAAAAAUAGCAUUCAUAGAACAAAAUCUGUGCAGCUUUUCUACUCAACUUCCUUUCUUCUCCAUUAUGAAAGCUCUUCACAUGUAAAUGAUAUCCCCCACAAAGAACUACUGCCAGAAGGAAAUGUUUGUAGCAGUGGCAUUCCAUAUGGUAAGAAGGGUGAAGAAGUUACGAUGUUGAAUCAGUGUUGGAAAUUAUGUUGUUCACAUUGUAGUUAGAGGCAUUACUGAAAAUAAUUUUGUGAAAAUGUUGUUUAUAUAAUUGAACAGUGGAAGGAGUUAAUAUUUUUUUUAUCUCUGACUGUUUCCUGAUGAAAAACAGUGGUUUUUAAUGUAUUUUGAACUAGAGUGUGGGGGAUAGUUUCUAGGUAGCUUUGUCUGUCUCACACAUUGAGUGACAGCCAGAAAGGUGUCACACAUAGAUCUAAAUGGGGCUAUCUUUUUGUAAGACAAAGUAUGUUCUUAAAUAAUAAAUGAUCCUGACAAGUUGUUUAUUACCAGCAGUUAAUGAUCUGUUUAUUAGUUAAAGUCUGUGGCUGUUAACACUCUAACAAAUCAGUUCACUCUGUUAAACAUCAAUUUUGAGUACAUUAUUGGUAUUAACCAUACAACGAACUAGAACUGUUGCAGACAGUUGAUUUUAUUGCUGUGGUAGAAUUGUAUAACAGGAGGCAAAGGUGUUUGAUAGGAUACCAGUGUUCUUGAAAAGAAAAAUAGAUUAGGUUACAGUUGUUUGUACUGGUUAACAACUGGCAUUUAUUCAUAGUGAAUGUGUAUUCUGUUUUCCCAAAUGUCUCUCAAGUAGGUACAUUCUGAAGUCCUAGAUUCUCUAAUUUCCAUGUUUUUAAUACUGUAAGGAUUAUUUUUGCUUGUAUACAUUUACUUUGGGAAAAAAAUACACACAUAUAUAUAUAUGAUGGGCUUAGAAAUUAGUUUCUAGGAGGCGUGUGGAAGAACUUGCUUUAAAAAAUUGCUCAGAAGCUAAAUUUUACUAAAACCACUUGUUUGUCUGAGCAAUUGGCACCAGAUCAACUGAUUUUCCAGACUAGUUGCAGCUACUGGGAGGAAUAGGCAGAGACAGAGUUUGAAGACCAUGUUGGAUCUGCAUUAGGCUAUGCUUCACUUACAUCGUGUUAAAUUCCCACAAGCAUCUUCAACAAAAUAAAGUUCCAGUGGAAGACCUCGGAUAUUAGGUGAUCUUGAUGAGAAUACUUGGUCCUGAGUGGAAUGGUGCUCUACACAGUUCUGGCUCUGCCUACUCCCAAACCAUAAAAUACACAUAUUCCAAUUUUGCAUCUGAUCAGGAAACUAAGCUGUAAAAGUAAGUUCACUCCUAGGGCUCAAGUGGUGGUAAUAAGUCUGGCAAGGCUGGAUAAAUAGGUGUGAGAAUUACAUUCCAACCCACAAACUCAAGAGUUCAAAUCUGUUCUUUCAAUUUUGGCCCACUUCUCAUAAAAGGUAGCUCUGAUACUUUCAGCAUUUAGAAAUAAUCCUUUGAUACAUUAGCAGAAAGUAAUCCCCAAAAGCAUUUCUCUAAAUUGUAUCAAGAAUACUUUUUUUUCAGUCUGUCUGAAAACUAAAAUGUUCUUAUGUUUUCUUGAUAUUGAAUUAAUUACAUUGAUGCAAAUCACUACAUGGACGCCAAAUCCUUUUCCCCGGUUCUAGAAUGGCUUAUUCUGGUUUAAUUUGAAUGUUUCUUAAAACAGCUGAACUCAGCUAAAAUAAACAUAGUUAAAACAUCCAUCAGUAGUUCAUAAUGCUCGGCUAGUGCAAAGGCUAUCUCAAAAUCACAUUUUAAAUUAAAUCACACUGACUUGAUGUUGAUAAUCUGCAACUUGCCUGAGGUAGAGCAAAUUACUUGAAAAUGUUUUCUACCACCACAACUUCAACUGUAGUGUAAAAGGUCAGUACAGAACAAGAAUUCAGUAACAAGAGUGACACUUUGGACCCUGCACAGCAGGAUGUCUAGCAGAGUUUUCUGUAAUGGUAUUAAAGUGCUUGGCCCUUUUUAUGCUCAACAGGGCAGUAAAUAGGUUGGCAAACAAGGAAUAGGAGGACCUGUGGUUUACACCCAGUGUCAACAACAAGAUAAUUUGCCUAUGAGUUAGUACGGCUUUCCUAAGAGUUUUAAUUCCCCCAGAGGCCCUGUGGUUUCCAUCUAUUCCUGCAAUUAGCCCUUUAUCACACGGGAAGGUAUUUGCAAUGUAAUCUGAAUUAAAACUUAACCCAACACCUGUUAAAAUCCAAGGUGCUGAAGAUUUGCUGGCAUUCUCUUGCUGUCGGUGUGGUGUCAGUGUAACCUGUUCAGGGGCUCGAGCUUCCCCCAUGUACAGCUGAGUUCUCCCAUGCCACAGCAGAUUUCUCUGCCCCAGAGCAGUCCCAGAGUAUGAAGUGACAAAUGAAGUAUGAAGCAAAAUGUGGGGGUGAUCUCAGUUCUCACCCUUGCUAGACAGUGGCACAGACUUUCCCAGCUACCUCUGGGAGCACUGAAUCAUAUUUUAAUCUUGCAAAGCAUGUGGAGUUUAUAGACCAAUGAUAUGAAAAUGAUCUUAGCUGGAGUCAAAUCACUCGCUGUAGCCCUUGAGGAUUAUUGCCUGCAGCUGAAAGUUUCUCUGGUUGGCAUUCUGAAUUAUUUAAUUCACAGGGUGCAUUGCAGACACAGCAUGAUUACACAAAGUCCGCAUCAUCCAAGGAAGAAAUCUGUGGCCGCUUGAGCUGAUUGGUAGUGCUAUAAACUCAAAUGCACUGACAUUUGCUUCUUGCCUGAAUUGUAAUGAUCUCUUCUGUAUGUGUAUUUGUGUUUAUACAUUGUAGCCUUGUGUUGGAAGACAUGAAUAUUAAAUGUGUUUUUCUUCCCU